CUAUCGGUAGUUUACUGCCGUUUGAGAGAAGUGGAAACUGAUCAGGGGCGCUCCUCCUGAGAAGAAGUACACUUCUUUUCUUAACCCUUGACUUUUUGCGUACUCAUGUUUCCUCGGCAGGCUUGCCUGCCGGCUGGACAACUCUUAUAACCUUUUAAUUCUCAAUCAGCGUCUGAAUAAACAUAAUAAUUA
RNAcentral lists this unclassified non-coding RNA (192 nucleotides) under uncultured Ascomycota. Its description in RNAcentral is "sequence contains ITS1". Lineage: Eukaryota; Fungi; Ascomycota. The record is from RNAcentral.